RNAcentral lists this ribosomal RNA (870 nucleotides) under Triticum aestivum (bread wheat). Its description in RNAcentral is "partial small subunit ribosomal RNA". Lineage: Eukaryota; Viridiplantae; Streptophyta; Magnoliopsida; Poales; Poaceae. The record is from RNAcentral.
CUAAAGCUUAAGUUCAAUCUUGAUUUCACCCAAGAUCAUAUCAAAGGCUGUGUGGAUCUGCUAUUCUCUUCAAGCUACAAAAGUUUCCGUCACAAGUGUUAUGAACAUUAUGUAAAAUCUGGUGAUGAUGCUAGAAGCAAUCCAUAUCCUCCCCUUAUUGAUAAUAGAGUUGGAGACUGGAUUUGUCUCUGUGAUCAUUUUGAAACAGAAGAAUUUAAGAAACGGUCCACAAUUGGGAAGGCUAACCGCUCAAACCUACCUUAUGUUCACAAGAAGGGAACAAAGUCAUUUGUAGCGGUUCAACAUGAAUUAAAUUGUGGCGAUAUCAGACUAUACAAGGAGUGUUACUCUAGUGAUAAGAAGGGAUGGGCAUCAGAAGAUGCCAGGAAUAAACAUAAGCAAAAGGAACCCAUAGAGGAGGGUGAAGUACCUUUAACAGAGCAACAGAUUUGCGAGCAUGUGCUUGGUAAGGCAUAUGGUUACAUCAGAGGUCGGGGUCAUGGACCAAAACCAAAUAGAAGGGCUUACUCAAGCGCAUCAAGCUCAACUCAGCAUGUAGUGGAAGAAUUGGCCUCUACAAAGGAGAUUGUUGCUACACAACAAACUCAAAUUGAGGCUCAACAAUCUCAACUUGAAGCUCAACAGAAGAAGAUCGAUUGGCUACAAAAUGUCGUGUCUAACUUGGUUGGCAUUUCACCUCCUAUGGACGGCACUACUGCAACAAGGCUAGGUUUCACAACUGAGCGGCCAAUGCCAUCUGACGGAAUAGGUUCGCUGAUGUCUAACACUGUACAAAGGAUGUCAAGUUUUCCAAGAUCAUUUGCAAGCUUGCUUAGAUAUAACAGUGUACUUGGUAUCAAGAUCUUCUAA